Molecule: unclassified non-coding RNA, 286 nt
Filed under: uncultured fungus
Lineage: Eukaryota; Fungi
Description: partial contains 5.8S rRNA and ITS2
Source: RNAcentral
AACGCACCUUGCGCCCCUUGGCAUUCCGAGGGGCACGCCUGUUCGAGUGUCGUGAACUCCUCCACUCCUUACCUUUUUCGAAGGGUACCGAGCUGGGAUUUGAGAGUUGCGGGUCCCUGGCCGAUCCGCUCUCUUUGAAUGCAUUAGCGAAGCCCUCGCGGCCUUGGUGUGAUAGUAAUCUACGCCUCGGUUCCGUGCUUAGUGUGGCUACGCUUCCAACCGUCUUGCAAGGGACAACGACUACAAACUUGACCUCGAAUCAGGCGGGACUACCCGCUGAACUUAA